This is a non-coding RNA of Danio rerio (zebrafish), 391 nucleotides long. NCBI's taxonomy places the organism in Eukaryota, Metazoa, Chordata, Actinopteri, Cypriniformes, Danionidae. The record is from the annotation of a RefSeq genome assembly.
AUGUUCCCUGCAGCUUUAAUUUGGCUUUUUUCAGUGAUGGCCUGUAUGGAAUGUAAUAUCAUCCUCACUCAGCCAAACUCUAUAAUUCUGCAGCCGGGUAACUCACUUACUCUCACAUGUGAGGUGUCUGGAUAUUCUGUAACAGAUGACAAUUACGCAACAGCCUGGAUACGACAACCUGCAGGAAAAGCUCUGGAGUGGAUUGUGCACAUAUGGGGAGGUGGAGGCAUAACUAAGAAAGACUUACUGGCAAACAAGUUCAGCAUCUGCAAAAGUGACUCCAGCAACAGAGUGACUCUUCAAGGACAGAGUUAAAAGACUGAAGACACAGCUGCGUAUUACUGUGCAAGACUACCACAGAUUCUGAAAACAGCACAAGCACUUUACAAGA